CCUACGGGAGGCAGCAGUGGGGAAUAUUGCACAAUGGGGGAAACCCUGAUGCAGCGACGCCGCGUGAGCGAUGAAGUAUUUCGUUAUGUAAAGCUCUAUCAGCAGGGAAGAAAAUGACGGUACCUGACUAAGAAGCCCCGGCUAACUACGUGCCAGCAGCCGCGGUAAUACGUAGGGGGCAAGCGUUAUCCGGAUUUACUGGGUGUAAAGGGAGCGUAGACGGCUGUGCAAGCCGGAGGUGAAAGCCGGGGGCUCAACCCCAGGACUGCAUUGGAAACUGUAUGGCUGGAGUGUAGGAGAGGUAAGUGGAAUUCGUAGGGUAGCGGUGAAAGGAGUAGAGAGUAGGAGGAACAC
This 354-nucleotide ribosomal RNA is filed under the name uncultured bacterium. RNAcentral describes it as "partial 16S ribosomal RNA". It matches the Rfam family "Bacterial small subunit ribosomal RNA", at positions 338 to 709 of the family's 1533-position model. The record is from RNAcentral.